GAGCAAAUCUCAAAAAUAACGUCUCAGUUCGGAUUGUAGUCUGCAACUCGACUACAUGAAGCUGGAAUCGCUAGUAAUCGCAGAUCAGAAUGCUGCGGUGAAUACGUUCCCGGGUCUUGUACACACCGCCCGUCACACCAUGGGAGUCGGAAAUGCCCGAAGCCAGUGACCCAAGCGAAAGCAGGGAGCUGUCGAAGGCAGGUCUGAUAACUGGGGUGAAGUCGUAACAAGGUAGCCGUAUCGGAAGGUGCGGCUGGAUCACCUCCUUUCUAAGGAA
Molecule: ribosomal RNA, 277 nt
Filed under: Clostridium sp. MCC328
Lineage: Bacteria; Bacillati; Bacillota; Clostridia; Eubacteriales; Clostridiaceae
Description: partial 16S ribosomal RNA
Rfam family: Bacterial small subunit ribosomal RNA
Source: RNAcentral